UUGGAACCAUUCACACCUCCUCCUCUGGCACCUCUCACCAGGCCUGUGGGGCCCAGAUGCAAGAGAGAAAGGAAGGAAGAUUCAAGCAACUGCGAUGGCGUUCAGACUUAAGUUCCCAGCUGGGUCAAGGUCACGAUGGGCUGGUUAAGCCGGCAGGUAGGCAGUGUCAGCAGUAGCGCACCGGCCUGUCCUGGAAUGUGCGAGGGGCGUGACGACAACAGCUGCCUGGGGCCUUUUUGCCAACACCUCGGCUAUAUAUAUACCUGGGCCACCGCGGUCCCCCUGGGUGCCUUCCUGGGCCAUGUACCUGCGCGGAACGCUGGAGUUCUUUUAGCCUGGUCUGUGUUGGGUAUUCCUGAAAAAGUGGUGCCUCGUACGAGUGACAUUGAUUCAGGCUGUUAAGAGUGUUUGAACCUCUCCGCGGUGCCAGCCAACCUGCUGAUAAUGAUCUCUUCUGUAUUUCUGUAAUGUUGGGAACUGGUGGCAAGAAGGGCAGGCGUUGUGGAAGGUUUGGAUGUUAAACCGAUUGCCCCCUCCACAAUCUACCCCAAAUCACUCAACCAUGUCACUGAAACAGGUCCCAGGGGUGGGUGGACUGUGGUGUGGAUUAUUGCUGUUACGCAUAAAGCCAACAUCAAAAUAGCCUGGAUUCAGUUUAAUGAAGAAAACAGCUUCUCGGGAUCAGUGAUUCGGAAUAUAGUUUCAAUACCACUUCAGCCACCUUCUGCCCACCUUCCUUACUCCACUGCCCCCACCUUCACCCUGGGGACAGAAAGGCAGUACCCACAGGGCACGGUCAGGACAUCCCAGUGAACUAAAAUGCACAAGAGUACAAAAUGAGGACUGCAAAGGAUUGCAAUCUGUUUAAGACAUUUAUUUUUAUUUACUA
Manis javanica (Malayan pangolin) is the source of this 889-nucleotide non-coding RNA. The record is from RefSeq and is a predicted model, not a curated record. Lineage: Eukaryota; Metazoa; Chordata; Mammalia; Pholidota; Manidae.